GUCCCUGUAGCGCAAUGGAUAGCGCGUUGGACUUCUAAUCCAAAAGUCAUGGCUUCAAGUCCCACCUGGGAUA
This 73-nucleotide transfer RNA is filed under the name Trichonephila clavata. It matches the Rfam family "tRNA". From Rfam's summary of the family: Transfer RNA (tRNA) molecules are approximately 80 nucleotides in length. Lineage: Eukaryota; Metazoa; Arthropoda; Arachnida; Araneae; Nephilidae. The record is from Rfam by way of RNAcentral.